AUUGAACGCUGGCGGCAGGCCUAACACAUGCAAGUCGAGCGGAUGAAGGGAGCUUGCUCCUGGAUUCAGCGGCGGACGGGUGAGUAAUGCCUAGGAAUCUGCCUGGUAGUGGGGGAUAACGUCCGGAAACGGGCGCUAAUACCGCAUACGUCCUGAGGGGGAAAGUGGGGGAUCUUCGGACCUCACGCUAUCAGAUGAGCCUAGGUCGGAUUAGCUAGUUGGUGGGGUAAAGGCCUACCAAGGCGACGAUCCGUAACUGGUCUGAGAGGAUGACCAGUCACACUGGAACUGAGACACGGUCCAGACUCCUACGGGAGGCAGCAGUGGGGAAUAUUGGACAAUGGGCGAAAGCCUGAUCCAGCCAUGCCGCGUGUGUGAAGAAGGUCUUCGGAUUGUAAAGCACUUUAAGUUGGGAGGAAGGGCAGUAAGUUAAUACCUUGCUGUUUUGACGUUACCAACAGAAUAAGCACCGGCUAACUUCGUG
This 484-nucleotide ribosomal RNA is filed under the name uncultured bacterium. RNAcentral's name for it is "partial 16S ribosomal RNA". It matches the Rfam family "Bacterial small subunit ribosomal RNA", at positions 30 to 507 of the family's 1533-position model. The record is from RNAcentral.